Molecule: ribosomal RNA, 621 nt
Filed under: Lacticaseibacillus rhamnosus
Lineage: Bacteria; Bacillati; Bacillota; Bacilli; Lactobacillales; Lactobacillaceae
Description: bacterial SSU rRNA
Rfam family: Bacterial small subunit ribosomal RNA
Source: RNAcentral
CAAGUCUGAUGGAGCAACGCCGCGUGAGUGAAGAAGGCUUUCGGGUCGUAAAACUCUGUUGUUGGAGAAGAAUGGUCGGCAGAGUAACUGUUGUCGGCGUGACGGUAUCCAACCAGAAAGCCACGGCUAACUACGUGCCAGCAGCCGCGGUAAUACGUAGGUGGCAAGCGUUAUCCGGAUUUAUUGGGCGUAAAGCGAGCGCAGGCGGUUUUUUAAGUCUGAUGUGAAAGCCCUCGGCUUAACCGAGGAAGUGCAUCGGAAACUGGGAAACUUGAGUGCAGAAGAGGACAGUGGAACUCCAUGUGUAGCGGUGAAAUGCGUAGAUAUAUGGAAGAACACCAGUGGCGAAGGCGGCUGUCUGGUCUGUAACUGACGCUGAGGCUCGAAAGCAUGGGUAGCGAACAGGAUUAGAUACCCUGGUAGUCCAUGCCGUAAACGAUGAAUGCUAGGUGCUGGAGGGUUUCCGCCCUUCAGUGCUGCAGCUAACGCAUUAAGCAUUCCGCCUGGGGAGUACGACCGCAAGGUUGAAACUCAAAGGAAUUGACGGGGGCCCGCACAAGCGGUGGAGCAUGUGGUUUAAUUCGAAGCAACGCGAAGAACCUUACCAGUCUUGACAUCUUU